This 380-nucleotide ribosomal RNA is filed under the name uncultured eukaryote. RNAcentral describes it as "partial small subunit ribosomal RNA". It matches the Rfam family "Eukaryotic small subunit ribosomal RNA", at positions 587 to 969 of the family's 1831-position model. The record is from RNAcentral.
AGCUCCAAUAGCGUAUAUUAAAGUUGUUGCGGUUAAAAAGCUCGUAGUUGGAUCUCGGCAGGUAGGGGGCGGUUCGUUUCUGACGGCACUGCCCCAUUUACCUGUGUUUUUGCAAGAGGUCUCAAGGUGGCUUUAAUCGGCUGUCUUGGAACGCUUGCAGUUUUACUUUGAAAAAAUUAGAGUGCUCAAAGCAGGCUACAAAGCUUGAAUAUUUGUGCAUGGAAUAAUGGAAUAGGAAGUCGUUUCUAUUUUUUUGGUUUUCGGAAAUUGACUUAAUGAUUAAUAGGGACAGCCGGGGGCAUUAGUACUCAGACGACAGAGGUGAAAUUCUUGGACCGUUUGAGGACUAACUACUGCGAAAGCAUUUGCCAAGAGUGUUU